UCAUUAAAGAGUUCUAUAACUCCCAAACCCAUGUGAACAUACCUAACGUUGCCUCGGCAGGUCGCACCUACCUUGUAGCACCCUACCCUGUAGGGCCUACCCGGGAGGUGCGGGUAAGCCUGCCGGCGGCCCACCAAACUCUGUUUGAUAUUGAAUUCUGAACCUAUAACUAAAUAAGUUAAAACUUUCAACAACGGAUCUCUUGGUUCUGGCAUCGAUGAAGAACGCAGCGAAAUGCGAUAAGUAAUGUGAAUUGCAGAAUUCAGUGAAUCAUCGAAUCUUUGAACGCAUAUUGCGCCCAUUAGUAUUCUAGUGGGCAGGACCGUUCGAGCGUCAUUUCAACCCUUAAGCCUUCGUUGCUUAGUGUUGGGAGCCUACGGCAACGUAGCUCCUCAAAGUUAGUGGCGGAGUUGGUUCACACUCUAGACGUAGUAAUUUUUUAUCUCGCCUAUUAGUUGGACUAAUCCCCUGCCGUAAAACCCCUAAUUUAUCAAGGUUGACCUCGAAUCGGUUCAGACAAACUCGCUAAAUUGAAGCAUCUUAGUCAGCGAAGGAAAAGAAACCAACAGGGAUUGCCCUAGUAACGGCGAGUGAAGCGGCAACAGCUCAAAUUUGAAAUCUGGCCCUCGGGUCCGAGUUGUAAUUUGUAGAGGAUGCUUUUGGCGCGGUGCCUUCCGAGUUCCCUGGAACGGGACGCCUUAGAGGGUGAGAGCCCCGUACGGUUGGACACCAAGCCUCUGUAAAGCUCCUUCGACGAGUCGAGUAGCUUGGGAAUGCUGCUCUAAAUGGGAGGUAAAUUUCUUCUAAAGCUAAAUAUUGGCCAGAGACCGAUAGCGCACAAGUAGAGUGAUCGAAAGAUGAAAAGCACUUUGAAAAGAGGGUUAAACAGCACGUGAAAUUGUUGAAAGGGAAGCGUUUGCGACCAGACCUUUUCCUAGCGGAUCAUCCGGUGUUCUCACCGGUGCACUUCGCUAGGUCUAGGCCAGCAUCGGUUUCUGUAGGGGGAUAAAAGCUCUGGGAACGUAGCUCCUCCGGGAGUGUUAUAGCCCUCUGCAUAAUACCCUUACGGGGACCGAGGACCGCGCUCGGCAA
RNAcentral lists this ribosomal RNA (1092 nucleotides) under fungal endophyte. RNAcentral's name for it is "eukaryotic LSU rRNA". The stretch from base 498 to 1092 matches the Rfam family "Eukaryotic large subunit ribosomal RNA", at positions 1 to 605 of the family's 3401-position model. The record is from RNAcentral. Lineage: Eukaryota; Fungi.